Molecule: ribosomal RNA, 253 nt
Filed under: uncultured bacterium
Lineage: Bacteria
Description: partial 16S ribosomal RNA
Rfam family: Bacterial small subunit ribosomal RNA
Source: RNAcentral
UACAGAGGGGGCAAGCGUUGUUCGGAAUUACUGGGCGUAAAGGGCGCGUAGGCGGCCUUCUAAGUCGAACGUGAAAUCCCUGGGCUCAACCCAGGAACUGCGUCCGAUACGGGUGGACUAGAGGUAGGUAGGGGAGAACGGAAUUCCUGGUGUAGCGGUGAAAUGCGCAGAUAUCAGGAGGAACACCGGUGGCGAAGGCGGUUCUCUGGGCCUUACCUGACGCUGAGGAGCGAAAGCAUGGGGAGCAAACAGG